GCCCGGGUGGCUCGGUCGGUUAAGCGUCUGACUUCAGCUCAGGUCAUGAUCUUAGGGUCUGUGAGUUCAAGCCCCUCCUUGGGCU
Transfer RNA from Felis catus (domestic cat), 85 nucleotides. It matches the Rfam family "tRNA". From Rfam's summary of the family: Transfer RNA (tRNA) molecules are approximately 80 nucleotides in length. Their secondary structure includes four short double-helical elements and three loops (D, anti-codon, and T loops). Lineage: Eukaryota; Metazoa; Chordata; Mammalia; Carnivora; Felidae. The record is from Rfam.